RNAcentral lists this transfer RNA (71 nucleotides) under Cornufer vitiensis (Fiji tree frog). Its description in RNAcentral is "Platymantis vitiensis (Fiji tree frog) tRNA-Ile". The record is from RNAcentral. Lineage: Eukaryota; Metazoa; Chordata; Amphibia; Anura; Ceratobatrachidae.
GAUAAUGUGCCUGAAAUUUAAGGACCCCUUUGAUAGAGAGGACUACGUGAGUUUAAAUCUCACCAUUAUCU